GAUGAACGCUAGCUACAGGCUUAACACAUGCAAGUCGAGGGGAAACGACAUCGAAAGCUUGCUUUUGAUGGGCGUCGACCGGCGCACGGGUGAGUAACGCGUAUCCAACCUGCCCAUCACUUGGGAAUAACCUUGCGAAAGUAAGACUAAUACCCAAUGAUAUCCCACGAAGGCAUCGGAAUGGGAUUAAAGAUUUAUCGGUGAUGGAUGGGGAUGCGUCUGAUUAGCUUGUUGGCGGGGUAACGGCCCACCAAGGCAACGAUCAGUAGGGGUUCUGAGAGGAAGGUCCCCCAAAUUGGAACUGAGACACGGUCCAAACUCCUACGGGAGGCAGCAGUGAGGAAUAUUGGUCAAUGGGCGAGAGCCUGAACCAGCCAAGUAGCGUGCAGGAAGACGGCCCUAUGGGUUGUAAACUGCUUUUAUAAGGGAAUAAAGUGGGUCACGUGUGACUUUUUGCAUGUACCUUAUGAAUAAGGACCGGCUAAUUCCGUG
RNAcentral lists this ribosomal RNA (492 nucleotides) under uncultured bacterium. RNAcentral's name for it is "partial 16S ribosomal RNA". It matches the Rfam family "Bacterial small subunit ribosomal RNA", at positions 28 to 507 of the family's 1533-position model. The record is from RNAcentral.